RNAcentral lists this transfer RNA (72 nucleotides) under Caldifarciminota bacterium. RNAcentral describes it as "candidate division WOR-3 bacterium tRNA-Cys". It matches the Rfam family "tRNA". Rfam says of the family: Transfer RNA (tRNA) molecules are approximately 80 nucleotides in length. The record is from RNAcentral. Lineage: Bacteria; Pseudomonadati; Caldifarciminota.
GGCGGCGUAGCCAAGUAGUAAGGCAGCGGUCUGCAAAAUCGCAAUGCUCGGGUGCAAAUCCCGACGCCGCCU